GGAGGUAUAGCAAAGUUGGUAAUGCCCGGGAUUGCAAAUCCUGUAUGCGUCGGUUCGAGUCCGGCUACCUCCUCCA
RNAcentral lists this transfer RNA (76 nucleotides) under Malaciobacter halophilus. Its description in RNAcentral is "Arcobacter halophilus tRNA-Cys". It matches the Rfam family "tRNA". From Rfam's summary of the family: Transfer RNA (tRNA) molecules are approximately 80 nucleotides in length. Their secondary structure includes four short double-helical elements and three loops (D, anti-codon, and T loops). Further hydrogen bonds mediate the characteristic L-shaped molecular structure. tRNAs have two regions of fundamental functional importance: the anti-codon, which is responsible for specific mRNA codon recognition, and the 3' end, to which the tRNAs corresponding amino acid is attached (by aminoacyl-tRNA synthetases). tRNAs cope with the degeneracy of the genetic code in two manners: having more than one tRNA (with a specific anti-codon) for a particular amino acid; and 'wobble' base-pairing, i.e. permitting non-standard base-pairing at the 3rd anti-codon position. Lineage: Bacteria; Pseudomonadati; Campylobacterota; Epsilonproteobacteria; Campylobacterales; Arcobacteraceae. The record is from RNAcentral. RNAcentral also lists the same sequence under 13 other names.